GAGGCCUGCCGCUUCACCUGUGCCUUACUCAACAGGAUAUCAUAGUGACUUGAGAAUGCCGCAAGGAAACAAGUCACUGCUCACUCUGGCCUCUAGUUCUUCUGGCCCUGGUCACUCCGGCCUGCCCUGCCUUCGAGCCAGGUCACUGCGGCCCCCGUGGCUGCACGCACGUUCACGUGUGUGUGUCAACCUAGCAAGUGGAACACUCAGUCAUCCAGCAAACAGAGGAAAUGUGCAAGGUUUACUGCCUAUCAAUUUGAUGCCAACGUCGACAAGCUGAAAGAUGCCUCCACGAAUUAAUCUUACAAGCAGCCACUAUAUAUACGUAUAGUUGAAUUAGAUGAAAAUGGGUUUGAAGAUUUUAACUCCAAUAUGUAACUAGCACAUCAUGCACAAGUGUUGUUUAGUUGUAGAACUUGUAUGCCCCUUUUGUGUUUAGAACUGGUCUACCUACCUGAUUGUAUUUAUAAUGCUUGUAAGAGCAGGAAAGUAGACAAUAUUUUACCAUUAAAUGUUCAUCAGUAAUAUUCAUUAUCUUAGA
Long non-coding RNA from Portunus trituberculatus (swimming crab), 541 nucleotides. RefSeq lists it as uncharacterized. NCBI's taxonomy places the organism in Eukaryota, Metazoa, Arthropoda, Malacostraca, Decapoda, Portunidae. The transcript is spliced from 3 exons. The record is from RefSeq and is a predicted model, not a curated record.